GGCGUUGCCAUUAUAGGGUGUCCGACCAACGUCCUCGUGUUCGUGCAUCUUCAGGAAGAAACGACCCGGGGUGAGUCGCCUCUGGUCUGCCGCACGAAGAGAGCGGGGGGCUAGAUCGCAAGGGCAGAGUUGCAGUCCUCCAGGGCCGCGGGAAGAAGAAGAUGGGACUCAUAUACAAGCCUCCCUCUCGUGGUGAACACUCUUCCCUGGAAUUGAUGGAAGAUCUGCCUUGCAGCCUUAGAGGAUCCAUGCAUCGUGUGAUGUGUGGCCUACAGGCUACCAAUGCAACUGAUGUAGUCCUGCACAACACAAAUAAUUUAGUGGUGCUUGGAUCUAGGAGUGAACUGGGUCAGGGUUCUGUACUAUAGGAGGAAACAAGAUGGGGCAUGUGUUUUUCAAGGAUAAAUAUUGGAACUGAUGCCUCGCGUUGAUCUCUCUGAUCUGGUUCGGCUGGCGCGGGAACUGAGCCGCCGUCGAUGGAUUUAUCACAACUUGGCUACCUGUUGCUUUGGAUCUGGUAGGUUUGUUCAUA
Molecule: long non-coding RNA, 532 nt
Organism: Triticum aestivum (bread wheat)
Lineage: Eukaryota; Viridiplantae; Streptophyta; Magnoliopsida; Poales; Poaceae
Exons: 6
Source: RefSeq, a predicted model, not a curated record